CCUACGGGAGACAGCAGUGGGGGAUAUUGCACAAUGGGGGAAACCCUGAUGCAGCGACGCCGCGUGAGUGAAGAAGUAUUUCGGUAUGUAAAGCUCUAUCAGCAGGGAAGAAAAAAGACGGUACCUGACUAAGAAGCCCCGGCUAACUACGUGCCAGCAGCCGCGGUAAUACGUAGGGGGCAAGCGUGAUCCGGAUGUACUGGGUGUAAAGGGAGCGUAGACGGCAAUACAAGUCGGAAGUGAAAUACCCGGGCUCAACCUGGGAAUUGCUUUGGAAACUGUAGGGCUGGAGUGCUGGAGAGGUAGGCGGAACGCGUGGGGUAGCGGUGAAAUGCGAAGAUAUUAAGAGGAA
This 352-nucleotide ribosomal RNA is filed under the name uncultured bacterium. RNAcentral describes it as "partial 16S ribosomal RNA". It matches the Rfam family "Bacterial small subunit ribosomal RNA", at positions 338 to 706 of the family's 1533-position model. The record is from RNAcentral.